AGUGAACGCCGGCGGUAGGCCUAACACAUGCAAGUCGAACGGCAGCACAGGAGAGCUUGCUCUCUAGGUGGCGAGUGGCGGACGGGUGAGGAAUACAUCGGAAUCUGCCCAGUCGUGGGGGAUAACGUAGGGAAACUUACGCUAAUACCGCAUACGACCUUCGGGUGAAAGAGGGGGAUCGCAAGACCUCUCGCGAUUGGAUGGGCCGAUGUCGGAUUAGCUAGUUAGCGGGGUAAUGGCCCACCAAGGCGACGAUCCGUAGCUGGUCUGAGAGGAUGAUCAGCCACACUGGAACUGAGACACGGUCCAGACUCCUACGGGAGGCAGCAGUGGGGAAUAUUGGACAAUGGGCGCAAGCCUGAUCCAGCCAUACCGCGUGGGUGAAGAAGGCCUUCGGGUUGUAAAGCCCUUUUGUUGGGAAAGAAAUCUUUCAGGCUAAUACCCUGGGAGGAUGACGGUACCCAAAGAAUAAGCACCGGCUAACUUCGUG
This 490-nucleotide ribosomal RNA is filed under the name uncultured bacterium. RNAcentral's name for it is "partial 16S ribosomal RNA". It matches the Rfam family "Bacterial small subunit ribosomal RNA", at positions 29 to 507 of the family's 1533-position model. The record is from RNAcentral.